RNAcentral lists this long non-coding RNA (563 nucleotides) under Citrus x clementina. RNAcentral describes it as "Citrus clementina (C. clementina) long non-coding RNA (CCLE_LNC003190)". The record is from RNAcentral. Lineage: Eukaryota; Viridiplantae; Streptophyta; Magnoliopsida; Sapindales; Rutaceae.
AAAAGGCCACAAAAACGGGUGGGCUAUACCCUCGGGGGGUGGGGCUGGCCAACUUCGUCCGCCGGACUCGGAAUGCCGCGAGACUUUGCGAGGGUCCUCCGUGUGCCAAAAAUAGGCCGCGGGCAAAGCCGCGCCCAAAAAUAACCGCCCGAAGGCCGGGGCGCCAAGUUCGUCCAGCGGAUAAAGGCCACAAAAACGGGUGGGCUAUAGCCUUGGGGGGUGGGGCUGGCCAACUUCAUUCACCGGACUCGGAAUGCCGCGAGACUUUGCGAGGGUCCUCCGUGUGCCAAAAAUAAGCCGCGGGCAAAGCCGGGCCCAAAAAUAACAGCCCGAAGGCCGGGGCGCCAAGUUCUUCCGGCGGAAAAAGGCCACAAAAACGGGUGGGCUACACCCUCGGGGGGUGGGGCUGGCCCACUUCGUCCGCCGGACUCGGAAUGCCGCGAGACUUUGCGAGGGGCCUCCGUGUGCCAAAAAUAGGCCGUGGGCAAAGCGGCGCCCAAAAAUAACAGCCCGAAUGCCGGGGCGCCAAGUUCGUCCUGAGGAAAAAAACGCCACAAAAACGG